RNAcentral lists this ribosomal RNA (201 nucleotides) under uncultured Brochothrix sp. RNAcentral describes it as "partial 16S ribosomal RNA". It matches the Rfam family "Bacterial small subunit ribosomal RNA", at positions 28 to 218 of the family's 1533-position model. The record is from RNAcentral. Lineage: Bacteria; Bacillati; Bacillota; Bacilli; Caryophanales; Listeriaceae.
GACGAACGCUGGCGGCGUGCCUAAUACAUGCAAGUCGAACGAACGGAUAAAGAGCUUGCUCUUUUGAAGUUAGUGGCGGACGGGUGAGUAACACGUGGGUAACCUGCCUCACAGCUGGGGAUAACAUCGAGAAAUCGAUGCUAAUACCGAAUGUUCUGAACAUCAUAAGAUGUUCAAGUGAAAGACGGUUUCGGCUGUCAC